RNAcentral lists this unclassified non-coding RNA (332 nucleotides) under soil metagenome. RNAcentral's name for it is "partial contains 5.8S ribosomal RNA, internal transcribed spacer 2, and large subunit ribosomal RNA". The stretch from base 1 to 120 matches the Rfam family "5.8S ribosomal RNA", at positions 35 to 154 of the family's 154-position model. The record is from RNAcentral.
GAUGAAGAACGCAGCGAAAUGCGAUAAGUAGUGUGAAUUGCAGAAUUCAGUGAAUCAUCGAAUCUUUGAACGCACAUUGCGCCCUUUGGUAUUCCUUAGGGCAUGCCUGUUCGAGCGUCAUUUAAACCUUCAAGCUAAGCUUGGUGUUGGGUGACUGUCCGCCUCACGGCGGACUCGCCUCAAAAUUAUUGGCGGCCGGUACAUUGGCUUCGAGCGCAGCAGAAACGCGAACUCGGGCCCGUCGUAUUGGCUCCCAGAAGCUAUCUUCACAAUUUUGACCUCAAAUCAGGUAAGAGUACCCGCUGAACUUAAGCAUAUCAAUAAGCGGAGGA